Long non-coding RNA from Mustela lutreola (European mink), 1983 nucleotides. RefSeq lists it as uncharacterized. The record is from RefSeq and is a predicted model, not a curated record. The transcript is spliced from 5 exons. NCBI's taxonomy places the organism in Eukaryota, Metazoa, Chordata, Mammalia, Carnivora, Mustelidae.
UAGAAGAAGAGACCCCAUUAUUUCAAACAAGACCCCCUAAAAACUGUUUCCUCUCUAGGAUGUCAUGGAGCCCCCUUUCCAAGCCCGGUAUGGUUUCUUUAACUUGGUUAGCAGAAGGAAAAGGGAUCGCGACCCACAAGCAUCCGCUGCCCGCCGGGGACGCAGUCCCGACAGUGGUGACCAGGAAAACUACGGGUGGAUUCAGAGCGUACCAACGAAGGAGCCAAAACGGUGAUCUCAGCUCUAUAAGCGUCCGACACGCUGCGGACCACAGAGCGACCACAGCGUGCGAGGGUGAGGCCAGACGCCACGUCUGUCCGAGUUUGGAAAGGAACACAGCCCCGCGGAGGAGACUGCUAUUUUGGUUUGCACAGGGGAAGGCAUCCUGUCAUGGGAUACUCCAGGCUGUGUGGGCACCCCGGGCGCAGGAGCAGGAGGACUCCCGAGGGAUGAAAAGGAAGACGGAAGCUGAGAGUUAGCGAGCGGGCUAAGAGGCGAGCGGGUUUAGCCCAGGGCCCAGUGCCUCCAAGGAGCUGAGCAAAUGUGGGCUGGACGAAUAACUCAGAAGUAGCAGGGGAUUGUGGGGGCCGGCAGGCGAGAGGACGUUCAGUCUGUGAAAUGUGGGAAUAAAUCCAUCUGCCUCCGCGGUGAGACUCCCCCAGUCUGACCCUGGUACACACCUGCCUGCGUGUCCGCAACUCGGUUGUGAGAGGUGUGAGGUCAGCACCUGCACCGAGAUUCUGAGCCAAAACUUUUAGAUGAAGGUAAAUAUAUGCAGACCGCCAGCAGGAAGUACGCAUACGCACUUUCUGGAAGUUUCUGGAAGUUACCAGGGAACUGUGAAGUUACUUCCCAAAAGGGUUAGGCCAGCCCAGGGUACACUGAAAAUCCACGUUGUAAGUCUGGCCGGAGCCAUUUCCUGGGUUGUUCCUGUGUCUCCGGGGUCGGCAUGUGGUCUCUAGCACUGAUUACUCCUGUGGCCCGCGCAGGUCUGUGGGAGAGGUCUCACCGGACCCCUUGCUAUUCUGGGGUUUGGGGAAGACUGGGGGGUCUUUGGAAGGCUGAACUUAAACGUGGGCCUUGGCUGGGCACCUUCCAGGAGCCAACACACCGCGUCAUCUCCUCUAGCCUCGGUCGUCCUGGGAACCAAGGAUUAAGCAAGAGACACCUGAGGAUCCAGGGAAAGCCUAGGUGACAUCACGUGGGUGCUUCUGACACGCCAUGACUCCGUACGGAAUCAUACACUCUGUCACCGUGGGGUGCACCUGCCUCCCAAGAUUUGGCCUAUGCAUCAGACAUGGCGGAGAGCCCAGGAGCAAAGUUCUAAGAAAGCACUGCUUCUGUACACGCAUAAAUUUCCUUCCUAUGAAAUUUCACUUCUUCCUGCUGCUACAAAUGACAGAAAGCCGCUUAUUUUCCAAAGGGAAGGAGGAAUAAUAAUAAUGAGACAUUCGACUGCGGGCCACAUGGUGUCUUCUGGAACGUUAGAAGAAGGCAGGAGCAGAGGCCGCCACGCGGACAGCCCGAGUGCGAUGAUCAGCUGUGGCCGUUCAGCUCGCCUUCCCGUCCCGGCUGACCUCGGCCUGUCUGUCUGUCCGCCUGCCCGCCUGCCCGCCUUCCCCGACGCCCGGCCCCGUCCCGGCUGAGCGGCCGGGCUCGCUCUGUGCAGGGUCUGCCCCGCAGCAGAGGAGGUCCGCAGCCCGACCCUGCGACCGGGGACCGGCCCGUCCCAUCCUGGUCCCGGCACGUGUCCUUCGCCCCCGGCCGUCGGCCGUCCUGCCCGCGGGCCUGGCUCCGGCCCGGCCCGGCCCCUCACGGCGGCCUCCAGCCCCUUCCACGCACGCGAGGCCUUGGUUUCCUUUGACCUUCAGCUCUGCCCUGAAGCAUGUCCUGACUCCCCGGGUCCGCUCUGGCGACACCCCGGCGCCCAGCCCGCUGGCGCUUAGGAGGACGGCCCGACGGCUCUCCCCGGCCCGACGGCUC